AUUGAACGCUGGCGGCAGGCCUAACACAUGCAAGUCGAGCGGAUGAAGGGUGCUUGCUCCUGGAUUCAGCGGCGGACGGGUGAGUAAUGCCUAGGAAUCUGCCUGUUAGUGGGGGAUAACGUCCGGAAACGGGCGCUAAUACGGCAUACGUGCUGAGGGAGAAAGUGUGGGAGCUUCGGACCUCACGCUAUCAGAUGAGCCUAGGUCGGAUUAGCUAGUUGGUGGGGUAAAGGCCUACCAAGGCGACGAUCCGUAACUGGUCUGAGAGGAUGAUCAGUCACACUGGAACUGAGACACGGUCCAGACUCCUACGGGAGGCAGCAGUGGGGAAUAUUGGACAAUGGGCGAAAGCCUGAUCCAGCCAUGCCGCGUGUGUGAAGAAGGUCUUCGGAUUGUAAAGCACUUUAGGUUGGGAGGAAGGGCAGUAAGUUAAUACCUUGCUGUUUUGACGUUACCAACAGAAUAAGCACCGGCUAACUUCGUG
This 484-nucleotide ribosomal RNA is filed under the name uncultured bacterium. RNAcentral describes it as "partial 16S ribosomal RNA". It matches the Rfam family "Bacterial small subunit ribosomal RNA", at positions 30 to 507 of the family's 1533-position model. The record is from RNAcentral.